This 497-nucleotide ribosomal RNA is filed under the name uncultured bacterium. Its description in RNAcentral is "partial 16S ribosomal RNA". It matches the Rfam family "Bacterial small subunit ribosomal RNA", at positions 28 to 507 of the family's 1533-position model. The record is from RNAcentral.
GAUGAACGCUGGCGGCGUGCCUAAUACAUGCCAGUCGAGCGAACAGACGAGGAGCUUGCUCCUCUGACGUUAGCGGCGGACGGGUGAGUAACACGUGGAUAACCUACCUAUAAGACUGGGAUAACUUCGGGAAACCGGAGCUAAUACCGGAUAAUAUAUUGAACCGCAUGGUUCAAUAGUGAAAGACGGUUUUGCUGUCACUUAUAGAUGGAUCCGGGCGGCAUUAGCUAGUUGGUAGGGUAACGGCUUACCAAGGCAACGAGGCGUAGCCGACGUGAUAGGGUGGUCGGCCGCACUGGAACUGGGACACGGUCCAGACGCCUACGGGAGGCAGCAGUAGGGAAUCUUACGCAAUGGGCGAAAGCCUGACGGAGCGACGCCGCGUGAGUGAUGAAGGUCUUCGGAUCGUAAAACUCUGUUAUUAGGGAAGAACAAAUGUGUAAGUAACUAUGCACGUCUUGACGGUACCUAAUCAGAAAGCCACGGCUAACUACGUG